This 1153-nucleotide long non-coding RNA is filed under the name Equus caballus (horse). RNAcentral describes it as "lncRNA (ENSECAG00000047588.1)". The record is from RNAcentral. Lineage: Eukaryota; Metazoa; Chordata; Mammalia; Perissodactyla; Equidae.
UGACAUUCCGUCAAGACAUCUAAUUCUAUACCAUUAUAAAGGCCACACUGAUUCAUAACUAUGAUCUAUUGGACCUGUAUCCUUGUUGGUGUUGUUAAGCCCUCUUGUGAGGGUGGGGCAAGACAAGUAGCCAUGGAAAGCCCAACGCUGGGGCAAAAGAUGUCUUUGAGGAAGGAAUCAAGCACCACACUCCGCAUGGAGCAAACCUUCAGGAAACCGAGACCUCUUGAUUUCUGAUUACUUGAAAUUCUAGGGCUACCAUCAGCCUAAACUCUUGAAGCCUAGCUGAGCCUGAUAAAGACUAGCUUUAGACUAACGCGAAAUUUUGACCCCAAAACUAACGCAGUGGAUGCACAAGACCUUAAGAGCCAUGCUGUUCCGAGAGCACUCCUGCAGCUCAACAGAGAAGCUCAGGCAUGCUCCCGCCUCGCCGGGGGGCUCACCACCUCUCUGAGCUUCUACCCUCUGUUCUAGAAACACUCCAGGAUUUCAUGCUUGCCCUCCUUGCUUCCAUCAAUGUGUUCCUGCUCUUUGUUACAUGCUGGGAAGAUACGUUCUCUUUUUUUGAACACUGAAGUUGGAGCCAAUUUUUUCAGUGCUAUUCUUCAUUCAACAAGUAUUAACUGAAGGCCUACCGUGGCUGUGCAGUCUUCUAGGUCCAGGGAUACGGCAGCAAGCAAGAUGGAAGUGAAUGCCGGUGGGAGCGACGAGAAGGUCCAUCUUCACGUAAUUAAAAGGAGAUGUAAGUGAAGGCCUCCUCCCCAUUCUCACUUUUUACACAAACUAUUCUAGAGAACAGCAUGAUCAAGAGGAGGGUGGUUCCAGCUACCGCCUCAGCCCCAAGCUGCUUGCCAAGAGUUACAAACUUCAUGUCACUCAGUAUCAGAACACAACAUGGUGCACAGUCGGCGGUAACUGCUCAGAGUGGAAUGAAGGAGCUGUUGGUGUCACCCAUGCACAGGUGAGGGGACGGAGCCUGGAGGGCAAGGGCCAGCCUGAGGAGGGCUGUCAGCAGUGGGCGGAGCUGUGAACUCUGCUUGCUUACUACUACCUCCCAAAGGUGAGGCCAAAAACAGCCCAACAGCCCAAAAGCAGCCAGGUCUGACACUUAACAAUCCUGUCAGAUUCUGAAGGCCUUGGCUCUCCAUUUUAG